This 305-nucleotide ribosomal RNA is filed under the name uncultured bacterium. RNAcentral describes it as "bacterial SSU rRNA". It matches the Rfam family "Bacterial small subunit ribosomal RNA", at positions 333 to 638 of the family's 1533-position model. The record is from RNAcentral.
CGACCUACGGGAGGCAGCAGUGAGGAAUAUUGGUCAAUGGGCGAGAGCCUGAACCAGCCAAGUCGCGUGAGGGAAGACGGUCCGAUGGAUUGUAAACCUCUUUUGCCGGGGAGCAAAAAGCGGUACGUGUACCGCAUCGAGAGUACCCGGAGAAAAAGCAUCGGCUAACUACGUGCCAGCAGCCGCGGUAAUACGUAGGUGGCGAGCGUUAUCCGGAAUGAUUGGGCGUAAAGGGUGCGUAGGCGGCCUGCUAAGUCUGGAGUGAAAGGUACCGGCUCAACCGGUACAGGCUCUGGAAGCUGGCG